This 457-nucleotide ribosomal RNA is filed under the name uncultured bacterium. RNAcentral's name for it is "partial 16S ribosomal RNA". It matches the Rfam family "Bacterial small subunit ribosomal RNA", at positions 338 to 795 of the family's 1533-position model. The record is from RNAcentral.
CCUACGGGUGGCAGCAGUGAGGAAUAUUGGUCAAUGGGCGAGAGCCUGAACCAGCCAAGUCGCGUGAGGGAGUACUGCCCUAUGGGUUGUAAACCUCUUUUGUCGGGGAGCAAAAGCCGGACGUGUCCGGCUGUGAGAGUACCCGAAGAAAAAGCAUCGGCUAACUCCGUGCCAGCAGCCGCGGUAAUACGGAGGAUGCGAGCGUUAUCCGGAUUUAUUGGGUUUAAAGGGUGCGCAGGCGGAUUUUUAAGUCAGCGGUAAAAUCGUGGGCUCAACCCCCUCCAGCCGUUGAAACUGGGGAUCUAGAGUGUGCGAGAGGUAUGCGGAAUGCGUGGUGUAGCGGUGAAAUGCAUAGAUAUCACGAAGAACCCCGAUUGCGAAGGCAGCAUACCGGUGCACAACUGACGCUCAGGCACGAAAGCGUGGGGAUCGAACAGGAUUAGAUACCCUUGUAGUC